RNAcentral lists this ribosomal RNA (996 nucleotides) under Enterococcus sp. RNAcentral describes it as "bacterial SSU rRNA". It matches the Rfam family "Bacterial small subunit ribosomal RNA", at positions 60 to 1029 of the family's 1533-position model. The record is from RNAcentral. Lineage: Bacteria; Bacillati; Bacillota; Bacilli; Lactobacillales; Enterococcaceae.
AGUCGAACGCUUUUUCUUUCACCGGGAGCUUGCUCCACCGAAAGAAAAAGAGUGGCGAACGGGUGAGUAACACGUGGGUAACCUGCCCAUCAGAAGGGGAUAACACUUGGAAACAGGUGCUAAUACCGUAUAACACUAUUUUCCGCAUGGAAGAAAGUUGAAAGGCGCUUUUGCGUCACUGAUGGAUGGACCCGCGGUGCAUUAGCUAGUUGGUGAGGUAACGGCUCACCAAGGCAACGAUGCAUAGCCGACCUGAGAGGGUGAUCGGCCACACUGGGACUGAGACACGGCCCAGACUCCUACGGGAGGCAGCAGUAGGGAAUCUUCGGCAAUGGACGAAAGUCUGACCGAGCAACGCCGCGUGAGUGAAGAAGGUUUUCGGAUCGUAAAACUCUGUUGUUAGAGAAGAACAAGGAUGAGAGUAGAACGUUCAUCCCUUGACGGUAUCUAACCAGAAAGCCACGGCUAACUACGUGCCAGCAGCCGCGGUAAUACGUAGGUGGCAAGCGUUGUCCGGAUUUAUUGGGCGUAAAGCGAGCGCAGGCGGUUUCUUAAGUCUGAUGUGAAAGCCCCCGGCUCAACCGGGGAGGGUCAUUGGAAACUGGGAGACUUGAGUGCAGAAGAGGAGAGUGGAAUUCCAUGUGUAGCGGUGAAAUGCGUAGAUAUAUGGAGGAACACCAGUGGCGAAGGCGGCUCUCUGGUCUGUAACUGACGCUGAGGCUCGAAAGCGUGGGGAGCGAACAGGAUUAGAUACCCUGGUAGUCCACGCCGUAGACGAUGAGUGCUAAAUGUUGGAGGGUUUCCGCCCUUCAGUGCUGCAGCAAACGCAUUAAGCACUCCGCCUGGGGAGUACGACCGCAAGGUUGAAACUCAAAGGAAUUGACGGGGGCCCGCACAAGCGGUGGAGCAUGUGGUUAAUUCGAAGCAACGCUAAAAACCUUACCAGGUCUUGACAUCCUUUGACACUCUAAAGAUAAACUUCCCCUUCGGGGGCAA